Molecule: long non-coding RNA, 565 nt
Organism: Hemicordylus capensis (graceful crag lizard)
Lineage: Eukaryota; Metazoa; Chordata; Lepidosauria; Squamata; Cordylidae
Exons: 3
Source: RefSeq, a predicted model, not a curated record
CUAACCUCCUCCCCUGGCUGUUCCUGAGGCUGACCUUUUCUGUGCCUACCGAGUCAUUCUGGAGUUCAAGAAGGGCCAGGAGUCCACCUUGUCCCCUGGGAGUCUGAGAGAGAUAAAGAUUUUUCCAAGCCACAAGCCACCCCCUUCUGAUCAUGUGCAAGCAGGAGGCCACCAACAGAAGGCCACAUCAUAAUAUCACUGCGAUGGAAGGAAAACAAGAAGUAGCAGCCAUGUCCAUCUAGUGGUGGUUCUCUCUCUGCCACCCCAACAAAACCUUCUGCUUUCAGAAGCGUAUUCUUAGCCAGAUCCCUUUAUUUUUCUUCACAGCUUUCAGUUCAGCUUGAAGUAGCCUCUUGUGAAGCUUCCAGUAUAUGUGCGAUUCAUGAGCCAGUCCCUCAACACGAACAGUCUUGCCAAGGCCUUGUCUCAGGAUCUCUUCAUUCAGGCAGACACUGGAAAAUCUACCCUGUUCAGAAAGGACAUUAGCAGCAUUACUGUGUGUCUUAUAUAAGAAUAAAAAACAACAGCAUUGGCAGUACUUUGUCAAGUUAAAAAAUAUUAAUAU